CCGGCGCACGGGUGAGUAUCGCGUAUCCAACCUUCCCUCCACUCGGGGAUACCCCGUUGAAAGGCGGCCUAAUACCCGAUGUUGUCCACAUAUGGCAUCUGACGUGGACCAAAGAUUCAUCGGUGGAGGAUGGGGAUGCGUCUGAUUAGCUUGUUGGUGCGGGUAACGGCCCACCAAGGCGACGAUCAGUAGGGGUUCUGAGAGGAAGGUCCCCCACAUUGGAACUGAGACACGGUCCAAACUCCUACGGGAGGCAGCAGUGAGGAAUAUUGGUCAAUGGACGUAAGUCUGAACCAGCCAAGUAGCGUGCAGGAUUGACGGCCCUAUGGGUUGUAAACUGCUUUUGUUGGGGAGUAAAGUGAGGCACGCGUGCCUUUUUGCAUUACCCUCGAAUAAGACCGCA
This 403-nucleotide ribosomal RNA is filed under the name Prevotella intermedia. Its description in RNAcentral is "bacterial SSU rRNA". It matches the Rfam family "Bacterial small subunit ribosomal RNA", at positions 95 to 496 of the family's 1533-position model. Lineage: Bacteria; Pseudomonadati; Bacteroidota; Bacteroidia; Bacteroidales; Prevotellaceae. The record is from RNAcentral.